Molecule: long non-coding RNA, 7198 nt
Organism: Microtus ochrogaster (prairie vole)
Lineage: Eukaryota; Metazoa; Chordata; Mammalia; Rodentia; Cricetidae
Exons: 4
Source: RefSeq, a predicted model, not a curated record
UCUGCUCCCGACCCCGGGCACGCUGCUUCCGCUCCCGACCCCGGGCACGCUGCUUCUGAGCCUGACCCUGGGCACGCUGCUUCUGCUGCCGACCCUGGGCAUGCUGCUUCAGUACUCAGAAUGUAUCCUCCUCACGGGCAUGCCAACUCCAGACACUCGCACGCUGCCUGCCGACGUUUUCUGCUUCCAGAUCCCUUCAUCUCCUGCGAAAGCUUACCCUCCAAGGGACUCAGCGGGUCUUGGUCAGGAGCCAGCUUGGGAAGAACUCAGUCAUGGACUCCACUCCUGAGACCAUCUGGACCAUCUUCCUCUGGAUCCUGACAAAGCCCUCAAGUUACAAAGCGCAACACUGGGUCCCCUGCAGGAGAGAGUUUUGUCUCAUUUACAAGCUGGCCCCGUUCCUCCAGAAGGAGAUGAAUCAGUGUGCGAUGAUGCCAGCCACAAGAAACGGUCCCGCCACAUGACAGCAGGGUCCUGACAGAGGAGAGGCCUCUGGCCCAAGCCCUCGAGGUGGUGGGCUAGGCCAGGCUGCUGGCCAGAGCUGGGAGGACUAGAGUGGGGGCUUUUCUGGGAGCUCAACUUCAAUCCCCUGUUUGAAUGAACUCAGGGUGAAUCCAGGGAUCUGGGCUGCAAGGGCACUCGGCUGUCGUAGGUCACAAGGACAGGGGUUUAGGGGUGUGGAAGUGAAAUGUCUACUCCACCACCAUACAAGGGACCUGGUACCCUCCCUCCAGUACCACAGAAAGCACGGACGUGUCGGAAGGCCUGGCUUCGUUCCUCUGUGACUGUUUCUACUGUCUGAUCUUGAUAGAUAAGUACACCACUUCUGUUUCCUUCUCUGGAAGACAAAAAGUCUGGGUUUUGUGGUUUACGGUCACCUCCAGGAACAGGACACUCCUCUGUCCUUGGGACACAGGGAGGAGAUUUAGAUUUAGGUUGUGGAAAUCACUGGGCAGAAUCUUCCACUUGAGAGUUGGGACUUCCCCCUGGGCCCUGAAGUUGAGUGAAGCUGAAGGUGAGGUCCCCUCCUUCCUGCCCAGCUUCACCUCCACUCCAUUUCUGAAAACCAAGCAGGAAGCACACGGAACCUGUAACGUUAGGUCAGUGUGCACCGCCAUUUAACCAGACACAGACCUGGCUAUAUGUGUGGUUUUAAAUAGAGGUUUCUCAGAGCUGUUUGUUUAGCUUGGAAUGAAAAAAGAUUGAUUAUCUUUAGACCCACUUACUGAGGCUGAUGAGUCUCCAUAUGAGCCGGGCUGGGCUUUGCAGAGGCCCAGCUGAUCUGUGCCCUGGGCAGGCCACAGACUGAUCCCAAGCAGGGCAAGUGUCUGCUACUCAGUUUUCCUUUGUAGAUAUUAGGGAGAGCGAAGUCCAGGAGGGACAGCAUAGGACCUGUGUCACUAACAGAGGCAGUGCCCCUGCAGAGCAUGGAAGAGCAGAAGAGUCCUGCCCACCUCCCAAGCACUUGUUCUAAGAUCCUAGGAGACCUGCUGUCCUCAGUGUGCGUCCUUCCAUCCUAGUGGUGGCUGAGCAGCAGCAAUUUAAUAUUUGAUGAUGUCAAGUCGUAACAAGGGUGUCCACAGACAUAAAGCAAGCCUUGUAGGAGGGGACAUUCCAAUGAGACAGCACUCAUAGCAGGUGACCAUAAUAGAGUCCUGAACACUGGGACCCGAACCAAGGCUGAGGGUUAGGGAUAGAAGUAUGUAUGUCUGUGACUAUGUUCCCUGACGUCACCAGUCCAUCUGGUUUUCUUAGUUUCUCUUCAUGACACUUAGUUCCCUUCAGGAUACUCACUUGUAGUUGAUUUUGACUCAAACCCUGACUUAUAUGAAGGAAUGAUACUAGUUUAAUGGUUCCUGACCCUUUCCAGAGGCACAGUGCUAGUUCUCCAAGUAAGGCCAGGCCUAUUGUGCACAGAAGACAUGCAGGAUGCCAGGCUGGCUCAGAACCCAGCUCUGCCUUCACACCCCCUCUGUGGGCUUCACUUGUUAUAAUGGGUCCAUGCCCCACCCAGAACAUGUCCUGCCUUUUCUUGACUGUGAGUGGGGCCUGAGGGUACCCCCUGCUUUCUCCAGUGGCCCAAAGAUCCCUGACCUGCUUUCUGUCCUUACGACCCUCCCUCUUUUGGCGUCUUUUACUCAAGGCCUUUAGCCUCAUAUUCGUGUCUUCCUCACUAGACUGAGCCUGGACAAGAACCUGUUGUUCAGUCCAACCCCGAUUUGCCUCACCCCAUUCUGUCAGCACCAGAGCUCUAUCGUGGUCAUGUUCUAGGCUUCAGAGAGUGUCUGCCUCCAGUUCCCCAAGGACAGACCACGUGACUCAGGCAAAGCACUUAGCAACAUAAUCAUUCACUGGAGGCCAGCCUGCUUCUGUGGUAGACCAGAGACAUACACCAUGGUUCUGGGAAAGGACCAGCAGGUGGACAGACCCCUUAGGAACAGGCAGCAGGGGAGCUGCCAGCUAGAGUUGUGGCUGAUCACAUGUUUACAACCCAAACUAGCCAGGGAUCUAAGGGGAGCAGAGCAUAGUGGGAGAAAAGGCUUGGUGGAGUCUGUCUUGGGUACAGGGUGGACUCAAACCCCAUUCCUGGCUUUGUCCCUAAUAUCCAGGGUGACCUUGGUUCAUUUAACUUCCUCCAAUGUGGAAUCAAGGGCCCUGGACUUGCUUAUCAGACAGCAGACUGAGCUCUCUUUUCUCCAUUUCUCAUUAUCAAAUUCCCACCUAGUAAGUAAGUCACUGUGUCACAGAAUAAACGGUGGCAUCGUGUCUAUGGAAGAAAGGAAAGAGAGCUGUCACAGCAGGCCAGGGUAGAAGAGAGGAGGAACUGGAUAUCCACAUGCCUCAGUUUCCACUUCUACGUGGAGGAAGUUUUAUGUCACAAUGCCCUAUUUUUCCAGAAUUCCACACUGUCUUUCCUCAAAUGGAUGCCUGGCCUUUACAAAUGGUCUUGUGUUCCCCGGGAAGCAAGGAUGAUGACAAAAACACAAGAUCUUUUCACCAACAGCUGCCACACGGGGCACUGUUAAAAAGCCAUAGAAAUGCCACCUCCCCAGUCUGGGCCCCCACAGCCAUUUAUCACCCUUAUGGUUGUGGAUAGCCUUGAGAGGAAACUGACCUUGAGGAGGGAAAGGCUUCCUUAUGGGGUGCUGAGGGAAACAGAGGCACUGGAGGAGGACAUGUGAGACAAGGAGGGGACAAUGACUUCACGAAUCCACAACCUGGGUCCACCUGAGAGUCCUGGUUACCUCUAGGGAAGCCUGACAGAGACCCAGUGGAGGAAGAGUCAUUGCCAUGGGCAUGGGGCAUAGGGAGGAAGGGAGGGUUUGUCACACAGAGAGAAGUAAAAGGUGUCCCUGUGCAUAUAGUCUCGUUAACAAUGGAGUCUCAGCUUCAUCCACGGCCAAAGAAGGCUGUGAAACCGAAAUCCACACAUACAAGGACCAUUGCCAGAGAAGGCAGAGCCCAUGGCUGGGGACCUUGAUAAACACAUGAAGGCCUUCUAGAUAAUUCCUUCAUCAUGCUUCCGCUUCCAUCAUCUACCCCGAGGUCGCCGUUUCACCCCAUGGCACAUGAACAUUUAUGCAUAUUUGCUCCCAGGUACAGAUGCUUCUAUGCACACCAUUAUAGGCACAAUGAAACACAAAGGUACCCGUAGACAGUGCUCACCCUUGCCCAGGUACAAAUGUGCCAGCAUACUCACUAGAAUUGGCCCUGGCAUAAGACAGAAUGGAGUCAACCAAGGCCUGCUCCGCGGAGCUCGCAUUCUAUGCGUCGGCUGCAGAGUCACGCAAAGACACAUCCCACAGACCCCUGCAUGCAUGCAUCACCUAAACAGUGACCCCACACAAAUACUCAGACAGUCCCCAGACAGAGUGCCUGCUACGUGCAUCCCAGAAAGUGUGGCUAGCCCUGGAGAUGCACAGGUAAGAGUGACAGUAUGACCACUCUGGUCACAAACACCCAGCACAAAAUAUCCACACCCAGCCUCAACCACGUCAGGCUCACCAGGCAUGCACAUGUGCAUCAUGAGUUUAAGGUCAAUUCACUAGUCAAGGCAUUUGCAUGGUGUCCCAGAAAACAGCUCAUUUCGAACCAGGGCCCUUCAGUUCAGGGCAGACCUGCAAGCCUUGCUCUCUCCACCUGGCUACAACUCUCCUUUCACCUAGAACCUUCUGUACCCCUCCCCAUCAGCUCCCUGGCUUUAUCAAAGUGCCACAGGAAUCCUGCCUGCAUCCUGCAGUGUGUCUGGUCCCACCCAGUAUGACUCCAGAUGUCCCCCAGACUCCCCUCAGUCAGCACAGGGGCCAAGUGCAGGCCCAGACUCCUGGGGUUUUUGCUGAGACAUUAUAUUGCAACACGGUCUGUUUCUUCCAGACUAUUUCUUUCUUUCUUUCUUUUUUUUUUUUUUUUUUUUUUUUUUUUUUUUUUUUUUUUUUUGCUUUUGCUUUUGCUUUUAAAAAAUCAGAAAUAACUUGGCUGUAAAACUGUGCUUUGGGCAGAAAGCAGACUCUCAGGGUCAGAGCCCAGGAGAAGAUUUUUUGCUAUACAGUUUCAGGGAAAAUAGCAGGCACUCAGCAAUUUUGAUUCUUCAAGGGACAGAGAGAAAAUACAAUUGGAGUGGAUUCGGGGCUGCACAGACUCCUCUCCAGACCAAGGCUCACAUGCUGGAGAGCUUGACAGUGGGCAGAGGGGUCAGAGGGGUCAGAGGGGGCCAAGCAGAGGUGGGGGGUGGAUUUGCUCUGGAUUUGCUGUAUUGGUUCUACAUAGAAGACCCCCCACACCAGAAGCCCCAGGAAGAAAGUUGGUCAGGAUAGUGGUUUUGGAUCUUGGCCCUCAGUUUGUAGCAGGUCUCUGCUGUCUAUGCAACUGCCAUGUGUGGGAGAGGUCCCGUGACUUCCAGGGCAAAAGAGGGGUUCUGAGAUAGCGUGGGAUGCAUCCAUGUGAUAGCUGUGUAACCUCGGGAAAGAUAAGUUGCCCUUUAACCCACAGACUUGCCAUAUCUUGGCGUGUGCUAAAACCUAUCUCGUGCCAACACUCUAACCCUGGGAAGCCACUGCUGUGCUGGGAGAGAAAUGGGCCUAGAAAGAAGCUGUCCUAACUGCCAGUCAUGAUGGGAGUGGAAGCAGGUGUCAGGAAAGGUCCAGUGUUGGAGUCCUCUUGAGUCCAGGGGCACCUUCCCACAGAAAGCCAGGGGAGCCAAUGAUAGCAAAGGUAGGAGGAGCCAUCCAGAGGGAAUUGUGGGCCUAAGCUGUGAAAGCGGAUGUGGACUGCAUGUGUGUAUGUCAGGCCACACCUCACUGUCCUAGUUGGUUGAGCCUCGGUCCCUCCACACUUCCUUGCAGUGCCAGCUCUGCAAAGGAGGACCGUCAUGGGCGGGAUGGUCACAGCUGGUUCCCUCAAUCCUUUUCAGGACAUGUGACCUCACGAUGGAAAGAGAAGACAGCGGUCUGGUGUGAUGUGAAGCCCGGCAACUGACCCCACUGAGCAGGGCUUCUCCUCCAGCCACCACCCAGGUGGCCCAGAGUCCCAAACCAGCCCAAAUCAGCAUCCUGCCUGUCAAGGACCGAGGGGAGGAGCUAGCUUCAUUUUCCACCUCCCAUUCAGGCGAAGGGGAGCCUGGAGUGCUGUGACUACUAACUUCACAUCUUAAUUUUCGAAAAGGAAGUAGAUUCUUUGCAGCCUUUGCUGUAAUUGACUCUGGGGCUGUGACUUUAUCUCGCAAAUGGUUAUUUGUGGACUUUCGGAAACCUGCGUCAUGGAGGGAAAUUACAUACUUAGAGAUCUGCAGAACCGUGGAUUAGGGUCCCAGCAGAUUCUAAUGAUUCUCUGGGUGCCAUUAGGGGAUAACGUGAAAAUGCAUAUUUAGAGGGUGAUUAAGAAGCAAGCAAGCACACAAGGCAAAAUUCCUCCUGGAAACUGGUGAUUACUCUCAGCGGGAGGUGAUUUCUCCUGUUAGAGAUCUCAGGGACUGCCUUGCUGUGUCCCCCAAACUCCGGGGAGGGGGGGGGGAAUCCUGCAACAGAUCAUAAGCAAUCAGAAACUUCACCAACUGAGAAAGCCACACUGGCCUUACGAGAACUGAACCUCUUGGCCACUCUGUAAGACUCCCUGAGCCAUCAGGCUGUUAUUUAAAAACUCAGGCCUGGGACUUGUGGGAAGGCAUAACUCAGUCAGCCAAGUGCUUGCUGAUCAAGUGUGAAGACCCCCCAGUUCAACCCCCAGAACUAACUGUAAGGAAUAAAUAAAUAAAGCCAGACCUGGUGUCUGGAAAGAUGGCUCAGGAGUGAAGAACCCUCAUCCAUUUCACAGUGCCCACAUUGUGCCACUCACAACUGCCUUUUACUCUGUCUCUAGGGGAUCUAAAGCCUCAGGCCCCUUUGAUCAUCAGAAAUCAUGUGUGAACACCCUUACCCCCACACAUCAUUAAAAAUAAAUCUUUAAACGAUGCCAGGCCUGAUGGCACACACUUGUCAUUCAGUUCUGAGAGAUGGAGGCUGGUAGGUCCCUGCAGCUUGCUGCUCAGUCUGUUGAGACUCUGUCUCAAAAAUCAGGGUGGACAGCAUCAAGAAAGGACAUCCGAAUUUGUCCUCUGGUCUCCAUAUGGUUGUCCAUACAUACACAGUCUGUUUCCCAAGCACAACAUUGCACUCAAGCUAGACUUGUAUCAUACGUGUUCUAGAACCACAUUCUGGCAUGUAUAGGACCCAAAUUGCUUCUCUGACAAUUUAUUUAGCUGCAAUUGAAGUCAUAGGUAAGGUUUACCUCCCCUCUGUGCAUGUGGAAGGUGUCACCUCACUGCGAGUCCCCCAGGUCUCUCCCUGUACAUCUUAGAACCCACAGCAGGGUCCUUCACCUUCAUGGCUGAAAUUUACCAUUUCAGGCCUGUUCAAAGGCUUUUCCUCCAACACGCCACUGUCCCCCAAAGUGGAAUAAGCCAUGACUCUUCAUGGGGAGGAGCCUGGGGUGGGGUCAGUGGGAUUCUUUGCUGAGGACUUCAGCCCCCAUACUCCUGGUACCCAGGCUUCUCUCAACUUCCGCUUUCAAAGCUUUGCUAACCUGGGGCAAAUCUGCAAGAAAAAGAUCCCACAGCUGUGAGGUCUAACCCUGACAAAAGGUGACACUCAUGUGGUUGUUUGAGACAGGGUCUCAUCUAGCCUAGGUUAGCUAUGGAUGACACAGACCACCCUUCUGUCUCUAC